AUUGAACGCUGGCGGCAUGCCUUACACAUGCAAGUCGAACGGCAGCACGGGAGCAAUCCUGGUGGCGAGUGGCGAACGGGUGAGUAAUAUAUCGGAACGUGCCCAGUCUGGGGGAUAACGUAGCGAAAGCUACGCUAAUACCGCAUACGAUCUAUGGAUGAAAGCGGGGGAUCGCAAGACCUCGCGCGAUUGGAGCGGCCGAUAUCAGAUUAGGUAGUUGGUGAGGUAAAGGCUCACCAAGCCGACGAUCUGUAGCUGGUCUGAGAGGACGACCAGCCACACUGGGACUGAGACACGGCCCAGACUCCUACGGGAGGCAGCAGUGGGGAAUUUUGGACAAGUGGGCGCAAGCCUGAUCCAGCAAUGCCGCGUGCAGGAUGAAGGCC
This 386-nucleotide ribosomal RNA is filed under the name uncultured bacterium. Its description in RNAcentral is "bacterial SSU rRNA". It matches the Rfam family "Bacterial small subunit ribosomal RNA", at positions 30 to 416 of the family's 1533-position model. The record is from RNAcentral.